Small nucleolar RNA from Mus spicilegus (steppe mouse), 129 nucleotides. The record is from Ensembl. NCBI's taxonomy places the organism in Eukaryota, Metazoa, Chordata, Mammalia, Rodentia, Muridae.
CCUGUCCCUAGAGAGGUUACAAAUGUGGCUGCUGUGUCACAUGUGUAUUAGUAGUUGGCAUAAAGGAGAUAGGCUCUGUCAAUGCUUAGUUUUACCUAUAAGUAUUUGAUUGAUUGGUAGCCUAACAUU